Molecule: ribosomal RNA, 467 nt
Filed under: uncultured bacterium
Lineage: Bacteria
Description: bacterial SSU rRNA
Rfam family: Bacterial small subunit ribosomal RNA
Source: RNAcentral
GAUGAACGCUAGCGAUAGGCCUAACACAUGCAAGUCGAGGGGCAGCACAUGAGGUAGCAAUACCGAUGGUGGCGACCGGCGCACGGGUGAGUAACACGUAUGCAACCUGCCUUCAACAAGGGGAUAACCCGUUGAAAGACGGACUAAUACCCUAUAACACAGGGGUCCCGCAUGGGAAUAUUUGUUAAAGGACAACCGGUUGAAGAUGGGCAUGCGUUCCAUUAGCUAGUUGGCGGGGUAACGGCCCACCAAGGCAACGAUGGAUAGGGGAACUGAGAGGUUUAUCCCCCACACUGGUACUGAGACACGGACCAGACUCCUACGGGAGGCAGCAGUGAGGAAUAUUGGUCAAUGGACGCAAGUCUGAACCAGCCACGUCGCGUGAAGGAAGACGGCCCUACGGGUUGUAAACUUCUUUUAUACGGGAAUAAAGUGCCCCACGCGUGGGGUUUUGCAUGUACCGUAUG